UCCCUGGUUGGGAUGCGGCUGGGAUGAUUUUGCUUCGGAAUGUUGGCUUUGCAGUCUUUUGGGGAAUCGAAAACACUAGUUUAUGAUUUUUCCCGACGUUUCGGUCCGUAUGGGACCUUUUUCAAGGGUUCUAAAAUAUAAUUAUUCAACUAUCAAUACAAAAUUUUAAACAUUUAAUUAGUUUUACAAUUUACCAAUCGGUCAAGGUUUCCUAGUCAAGAUGGCUUUGCUAAACUCAAAAAUGUCAUGCGGAACUUUUGGUCUAAAUGGAAGAUUCAAAGGUCAAUUUUCAUUUUAUACAUAUUUGUUGUCCUGCACUGUACUCACAUAGAUUGAGUCCGUUCGGUUUUCAACCGUCGUGAUGCGGACAAUCUCCUACCUAUCGGGCGGUCUAGAAUUCGGUCCCUGUUUUUGGAAUCUUCCACCAUUGCUUUUCGCAUGAUAUUCUUUUUGUUUGUGUGAGUCACUUUCUCUCUGUUUAGUUUAGUGUGUGUCUUAACUAUCUAACCCUGAGAAGAUUCUCUCAUCUAUCUAUAUUGUUUUGAUCGUCAUCUUCUAUUCGUCGUCUCGUUUUUCAGUAAGUGUAAUAGUCCGGCAUAAGCUACAUGGAGAUUGUCAGUGUCUGUGCGUUUGUUUACAGUAUUGUUAGUGUUGUAUAGAGUGUGUGUUUGGAGGCAACGUCGAAAUGCCGCUUUUUCAUUUGGUUCGGCCGCGAGCGCGUCGUCGUCGUCGUCGUCUAUUUCAUAGUGCUCGUCUUCGUACAGGGCAGUUUAGUGUGUGUUUGGAGGCAACGUCGAAAUGCCGCUUUUUCAUUUGGUUCGGCCGCGAGCGCGUCGUCGUCGUCGUCUAUUUCACAGUGCUCAUCUUCGUACAGGGCAGUUUAGUGUGUUUUUGGAGGCAACAUCGAAAUGCCGCUUUUUCAUUUGGUUCGGCCGCGAGCGCGUCGUCGUCGUCGUCGUCGUCUAUUUCACAGUGCUCGUCUUCGUACAGGGCAGUUUAGUGUGUGUUUGGAGGCAACGUCGAAAUGCCGCUUUUUCAUUUGGUUCGGCCGCGAGCGCGUCGUCGUCGUCGUCUAUUUCACAGUGCUCAUCUUCGUACAGGGCAGUUUAGUGUGUUUUUGGAGGCAACAUCGAAAUGCCGCUUUUUCAUUUGGUUCGGCCGCGAGCGCGUCGUCCGCGUCGUCGUCGUCUAUUUCACAGUGCUCGUCUUCGUACAGGGCAGUUUAGUGUGUUUUUGGAGGUAACGUCGAAAUGCCGCUUUGAGUUUUUGGUGGCAAAGUGUGCAGGCCGCAUUUUCAUUCGGAUCGUCCGUCGUCGUCGUCUAUUUGACUGUCCACAUCGUCGUACCCGUGUGUAGUUGUAGCGGUUCAGUGUGAUUUCGGAGAAGAGGCCAAUUAGUGGAAGAUGCUGUAGCACAUACGCACUGGACACUUCAAAGGAUGUUAAUUGGUGAGCUCUUUCCAUUUUAUCAUAACAAUAAUAAUAAUAAUAAUUAAUGCUAAAGGAUUUAUACAAUUCUGCUCUGGUUUUUGUGUAUUUAUCUAACAAAUAUUGAAAAGUUCGUCACGUCAUGUGUCGGCGCUAGUUCCAAAUGCACAUUUAGUUGAUAAUAAAUAAUUUCCUUUCAUUUUUUGCAUGAACACAACAAUUUGAAUGGUUCGUCAUCUUCGGUGUCGACAUUUGUUAUAUUUUAGUCCAAAUGAAAUGUUUUGACUCAAAUAAAGGUUGCAUGAAUUUCUGGAAAAAGAGAGGGUCGGUAAAAGAUAGACGGCGAACCAUGCGGUAAGAUCUUUCUGAUUUAUUUAUCACGUGUUAUUUUGUUAAUACUUGUGGAUUGAUCGCGUUCAGCAUUGUCUCGCGCGGAAACGCAAACUACAGAUGCGUCGGUGUUUAGCAUUGUGUUCUCCUUAGUUGCGAAUUAAUAACUUAUGUAGGGUGAGUUUUGAGGCACAAAAGAUCACGUUCGUCGUCCAAGGUAUAGAAGGGUAUUUCUUCGCGAGCGCAUUAUUAAUCGCGAAUCAAAACAUUACACUCGUUUACCACGACAAAAUCCUCAACACAUCUCCAUUUCCCCUGUCCAAACUCCUAGUGAUUUCUCGUAGUAACGCAGAGAAUUCCUCGGUUAUUGGCCUAAGCGAGAAUCACGUCAUCACUUCCUUCCCUAUCCUCAAUUGACCUGCAUUCGGACGCGGCCGGCGCUGGUAUUGCUUAUUGAAAAGUAUUGGGAUUCCAGCAUUUACACAAUGAAGAGAAAGCUAAUCCCAAGCAUCAUCUGUUGGUUCUUUGUGUAAAUGCAGUUGUCCUUGCAAUAACAGAGGAGCAACCGCGGGCGGUCAAUCAUGCUCAUGCUCAUGCUCAUGCUCAGUAUUGUUAGUGUUGUAUAUGUGGCAACUUUCAAGAAUGUGUAGAUUGUUUGUUUUGAAUGUCCUAUCUAUGAUGUUUGUUUCGUCUAGCUUAAAAUUAUGGUCCAUCGUUGCUGCAUGGUUAACAAGUGCCGUUUUUUCCCUCACCCAGCUAACCUCCGCGUCUUCGUUUGUAUACCCUUUGUCUAGUAGUGUUUUUAGCUUUUUCAAGUUUGAUCUAUGUCCAGAUAUUCUUUGUUUUAGUUUUGUACUGGUCAUUCCUAUAUAGCAUGCCUCACAAUCUGCGCAGUCUAUUUUGUAAACAACGUUGCUUUGUUCGGUGUUGGGUGUUUUGUCUUUUACCGACGGAAGAAGAGACCCAAUUGUUUUGUGUUGUCUGUUUGCUAUUUUUAUCCCUGGGUAGUCCCUUUUUAGUGUUUUGGUUAUUUGUUGUGUUAAUCCGUCAAUGUUUGUGAGCGAGUAGAAUUUCAUUUCGUCUUGGUGUGUUUCUGUCUCGGUUUCUGUUCUACUCACGUCCAUAGCUGUAUUGUUGUUUACCGUUUGAUGUUUUGCACGGUUGAUUAGUCUGUUGAUGAGGCAUUUCGAGUUUCGAGUUUAGCAAAGCCAUCUUGACUAGGAAACCUUGACCGAUUGGUAAAUUGUAAAACUAAUUAAAUGUUUAAAAUUUUGUAUUGAUAGUUGAAUAAUUAUAUUUUAGAACCCUUGAAAAAGGUCCCAUACGGACCGAAACGUCGGGAAAAAUCAUAAA
This is a long non-coding RNA of Aedes albopictus (Asian tiger mosquito), 3110 nucleotides long. RefSeq lists it as uncharacterized. The record is from RefSeq and is a predicted model, not a curated record. The transcript has 2 exons. NCBI's taxonomy places the organism in Eukaryota, Metazoa, Arthropoda, Insecta, Diptera, Culicidae.